AUCCCAUUGUGAGGAUUGGCGGCGACGUACUCCUGCAGACGCUCCCAAGCUUCUAUUAUGGAUUCAUCCUUUGUUUGCUGGAAGUUAGAAAUGCUCGCUCGAAGGGC
RNAcentral lists this small nucleolar RNA (107 nucleotides) under Leersia perrieri. Its description in RNAcentral is "Plant small nucleolar RNA R71". It matches the Rfam family "Plant small nucleolar RNA R71". Rfam says of the family: R71 is a member of the C/D box family of snoRNAs containing the C (UGAUGA) and D (CUGA) box motifs. Multiple nearly identical copies of this snoRNA have been identified in Arabidopsis, and it is thought to function as a 2'-O-ribose methylation guide for 18S ribosomal RNA. The record is from Rfam by way of RNAcentral. Lineage: Eukaryota; Viridiplantae; Streptophyta; Magnoliopsida; Poales; Poaceae.